Molecule: ribosomal RNA, 403 nt
Filed under: uncultured bacterium
Lineage: Bacteria
Description: bacterial SSU rRNA
Rfam family: Bacterial small subunit ribosomal RNA
Source: RNAcentral
CGGACGGGUGAGUAACGACGUGGGCAACCUGCUCAUAGAGAGGAUAGCCUCCGAAAGGGAGAUUAAUACCUCAUAACAUUGCAGUUUCGCAUGGAACAGCAAUUAAAGGAGUAAUCCGCUAUGAGAUGGGCCCGCGGCGGCAUUAGCUAGUUGGUGAGGUAACGGCUCACCAAGGCGACGAUGCGUAGCCGACCUGAGAGGGUGAUCGGCCACAUUGGGACUGAGACACGGCCCAGACUCCUACGGGAGGCAGCAGUGGGGAAUAUUGCACAAUGGGGGAAACCCUGAUGCAGCCAACGCCGCGUGAGUGAUGACGGCCUUCGGGUUGUAAAGCUCUGUCUUCAGGGACGAUAAUGACGGUACCUGAGGAGGAAGCCACGGCUAACUACGUGCCAGCAGCUGC